CCCUUAGAUGUUCUGGGCCGCACGCGCGCUACACUGACGAAUGCAACGAGCUUAUAACCUUGGCCGAAAGGUCUGGGUAAUCUCCAAAUUUCGUCGUGAUGGGGAUAGAUUAUUGCAAUUAUUAAUCUUCAACGAGGAAUGCCUAGUAAGCGCAAGUCAUCAGCUUGCGUUGAUUACGUCCCUGCCCUUUGUACACACCGCCCGUCGCUCCUACCGAUUGAAUGGUCCGGUGAAGCGUUCAGACCGUGGCCUUUGGACGGUUCGCCGUCUGUUGGCUGCGGGAAGUUCGUUAAACCUUAUCAUUUAGAGGAAGGAGAAGUCGUANCA
Molecule: ribosomal RNA, 327 nt
Filed under: uncultured eukaryote
Lineage: Eukaryota
Description: partial 18S ribosomal RNA
Rfam family: Eukaryotic small subunit ribosomal RNA
Source: RNAcentral